AUACGUAGGGGGCAAGCGUUAUCCGGAUUUACUGGGUGUAAAGGGAGCGUAGACGGCGAUGCAAGUCUGAAGUGAAAACCCGGGGCUCAACCCCGCGGACUGCUUUGGAAACUGUGUUGCUGGAGUGCAGGAGAGGUGAGUGGAAUUCCUAGUGUAGCGGUGAAAUGCGUAGAUAUUAGGAGGAACACCAGUGGCGAAGGCGGCUCACUGGACUGUAACGGACGUUGAGGCUCGAAAGCGUGGGGGGCAAACAGGAUUAGAUACCCUGGUAGUCCACGCCGUAAACGAUGAAUGCUAGGUGUCGGGGGGCAAAGCCCUUCGGUGCCGCCGCUAACGCAUUAAGCAUUCCACCUGGGGAGUACGUUCGCAAGAAUGAAACUCAAAUGAAUUGACGGGG
This 397-nucleotide ribosomal RNA is filed under the name uncultured bacterium. Its description in RNAcentral is "partial 16S ribosomal RNA". It matches the Rfam family "Bacterial small subunit ribosomal RNA", at positions 523 to 918 of the family's 1533-position model. The record is from RNAcentral.